This is a long non-coding RNA of Saccostrea cuccullata (small rock oyster), 378 nucleotides long. RefSeq lists it as uncharacterized. The transcript has 3 exons. NCBI's taxonomy places the organism in Eukaryota, Metazoa, Mollusca, Bivalvia, Ostreida, Ostreidae. The record is from RefSeq and is a predicted model, not a curated record.
GGAAUAUUUAGUGAUCACGUAAAAUCUAGCUAAGUUGUGAUACUGGUCCCUGUGAUCCACAAUAGUCCCUCUUGGUGAUAAAACAAGGCUAGCAAAUCUUCCACCACUGAAGAGUGGGGAUAUUAGGACCCACCUCCAGGAACAGCCUCAGAAAUUGACUGCCCUUGACCUACAGCUAUCCUCCUUAGGUUAGGUGUCAGUGAUUGGAAUAGCGCGGGGAUUUGAGAUAGACAUAGACGUGACACAGAGAGUUUACACCCCAGGGGCUCUUGGGAUUUAUCAGAGACCCCUGAUGUUGAGGGAGGCCGAUGCUUUCCAUAGAAAAAGGAUAUAGAAUACAUUUAAAUACUUUGGAACAAAUCUAAACUGCUGCUAUCA